UACGAAGGGGGCUAGCGUUGUUCGGAUUUACUGGGCGUAAAGCGCACGUAGGCGGUUUGUUAAGUCAGGGGUGAAAUCCCGGAGCUCAACUCCGGAACUGCCUUUGAUACUGGCAAGCUAGAGUCCGGAAGAGGUAAGUGGAACUCCUAGUGUAGAGGUGGAAUUCGUAGAUAUUCGGAAGAACACCAGUGGCGAAGGCGACUUACUGGACACAUAUUGACGCUGAGGUGGCGAAAGCGAUGGGGAGCA
This 249-nucleotide ribosomal RNA is filed under the name uncultured bacterium. Its description in RNAcentral is "partial 16S ribosomal RNA". It matches the Rfam family "Bacterial small subunit ribosomal RNA", at positions 524 to 770 of the family's 1533-position model. The record is from RNAcentral.